ACUCAAAUGAAUUGACGGGGACUUGCACAAGCGGAGGAUCAUGUGGUUUAAUUCGAUGGUAAACGAAGAACCUUACCAGGGUUGGAAAUCUAGUUGAAGCCGAGCAGAAACGUUCGGCGCCGCAAGGCAAUUAGACAGGUGCUGCAUGGUCGUCGUCAGUUCGUGAUUUGAAUUGUUCCCUUCAGUGGGGUAACGAACGCAACCCUCAUUGCCUGUUACAAGUGUCAGGCGAGACUGCCCAGCUUUUAGUCUGGAAUCAAGCGAAGUUCGCUCGAUUCUCGGUUAGAAGCUGGGAGGAAGGUGAGGAUGACGCCAGAUCAGCAUGGCCCUUUGAUACCCUGGGCUACACACGUGAUACAAUGGCACUUACAACGCGAAGCGACGGGGAAACCCUGAGCAAAUCGUUUAAAGAGUGCCCUAGUUCGGAUAGGAGUCUGCAACUCGACUCCUUGAAGCUGGAUUCGCUAGUAAUCUCGGGUCAGCUAUACCGAGGUGAAUACGUUCUCAAGUCUUGUACACACCGCCCGU
RNAcentral lists this ribosomal RNA (528 nucleotides) under uncultured bacterium. RNAcentral's name for it is "partial 16S ribosomal RNA". It matches the Rfam family "Bacterial small subunit ribosomal RNA", at positions 899 to 1397 of the family's 1533-position model. The record is from RNAcentral.